CCUACGGGAGGCAGCAGUGGGGAAUAUUGCACAAUGGGGGAAACCCUGAUGCAGCGACGCCGCGUGAGUGAAGAAGUAAUUCGUUAUGUAAAGCUCUAUCAGCAGGGAAGAAAAUGACGGUACCUGAGUAAGAAGCCCCGGCUAACUACGUGCCAGCAGCCGCGGUAAUACGUAGGGGGCAAGCGUUAUCCGGAUUUACUGGGUGUAAAGGGAGCGUAGACGGCAGUGCAGGUCUGGAGUGAAAGGCGGGGGCUCAACCCCCGGACUGCUCUGGAAACCGGACGGCUGGAGUGCAGGAGAGGUAG
This 305-nucleotide ribosomal RNA is filed under the name uncultured bacterium. Its description in RNAcentral is "bacterial SSU rRNA". It matches the Rfam family "Bacterial small subunit ribosomal RNA", at positions 338 to 660 of the family's 1533-position model. The record is from RNAcentral.